RNAcentral lists this transfer RNA (74 nucleotides) under Nitrosopumilaceae archaeon. RNAcentral's name for it is "tRNA-Pro". It matches the Rfam family "tRNA". Rfam says of the family: Transfer RNA (tRNA) molecules are approximately 80 nucleotides in length. The record is from RNAcentral. RNAcentral also lists the same sequence under 1 other name. Lineage: Archaea; Thermoproteati; Nitrososphaerota; Nitrososphaeria; Nitrosopumilales; Nitrosopumilaceae.
GGGAUCGUCGUCUAGCUUGGUAUGAUACUUGUCUGGGGGGCAAGUGGUCGCAGGUUCAAAUCCUGCCGGUCCCA